This 429-nucleotide ribosomal RNA is filed under the name Gemmatimonadota bacterium. RNAcentral's name for it is "Gemmatimonadetes bacterium partial 16S ribosomal RNA". It matches the Rfam family "Bacterial small subunit ribosomal RNA", at positions 355 to 776 of the family's 1533-position model. Lineage: Bacteria; Pseudomonadati; Gemmatimonadota. The record is from RNAcentral.
UAGGGAAUCUUCGGCAAUGGACGAAAGUCUGACCGAGCAACGCCGCGUGAGUGAAGAAGGUCUUCGGAUCGUAAAACUCUGUUGUUAGAGAAGAACAAGGACGUUAGUAACUGAACGUCCCCUGACGGUAUCUAACCAGAAAGCCACGGCUAACUACGUGCCAGCAGCCGCGGUAAUACGUAGGUGGCAAGCGUUGUCCGGAUUUAUUGGGCGUAAAGCGAGCGCAGGCGGUUUCGUAAGUCUGAUGUGAAAGCCCCCGGCUCAACCGGGGAGGGUCAUUGGAAACUGGGAGACUUGAGUGCAGAAGAGGGGAGUGGAAUUCCAUGUGUAGCGGUGAAAUGCGUAGAUAUAUGGAGGAACACCAGUGGCGAAGGCGGCUCUCUGGUCUGUAACUGACGCUGAGGCUCGAAAGCGUGGGGAGCAAACAGG